CAGUCGCCACGGUAAUACGGAGGGUGCAAGCGUUAAUCGGAAUUACUGGGCGUAAAGCGUGCGUAGGUGGUGGUUUAAGUCCGUUGUGAAAGCCCUGGGCUCAACCUGGGAAUUGCAGUGGAUACUGGGUCACUAGAGUGUGGUAGAGGAUAGUGGAAUUUCCGGUGUAGCAGUGAAAUGCGUAGAGAUCGGAAGGAACAUCUGUGGCGAAGGCGACUAUCUGGGCCAACACUGACACUGAGGCACGAAAGCGUGGGGAGCAAACAGGAUUAGAUACCCCCGUAGUCCCUGUCUCUUAUAC
This 301-nucleotide ribosomal RNA is filed under the name uncultured bacterium. Its description in RNAcentral is "partial 16S ribosomal RNA". It matches the Rfam family "Bacterial small subunit ribosomal RNA", at positions 509 to 807 of the family's 1533-position model. The record is from RNAcentral.